Long non-coding RNA from Cucumis melo (muskmelon), 833 nucleotides. RefSeq lists it as uncharacterized. Lineage: Eukaryota; Viridiplantae; Streptophyta; Magnoliopsida; Cucurbitales; Cucurbitaceae. The record is from RefSeq and is a predicted model, not a curated record. The transcript has 3 exons.
UACUAAAAGGACAACACAUAGAGACUUUGUAAAAGGAGAAAACCGAAUCAAAGGUGGAAAUUUAAGAGAAUUUUCAAGAUUCUAUGGAUUGCAUAAGAUCUUUAGAAUCCUUUAAUUAGUGGAAUUAAAAUUUCCUGACUGUAUGGUGAGUUUCAUUGAUAGUUUUCAUACUUUGCUGUAAAGAUAAGAUUCUGCUACCUUUUGGUGUUUGUCGAGCUAUGUUGCCUGCUGUUAGGGUGAGUGUGUAGUGACUGCGAUAUAGAGUAGGUGCUACAGUUAUAAUAGUUCAUAUCUUAUUUUAUAUCCUUUUCUCUUCAAUUUCACAAUUUCCCUUCAAUGUUGAGACUUUUCAUGGUUAUGGUUGUUUAUAGAUGAUGACAAUGACUUUACGUGAGACAUUCUCUUCCGUUGAUUGUAAGACAAUGAAGACACUUUUAUGAUGUGGAGGCUCUACUUGACCAAGGGUUCUUCAAAAAGCAAAAUUUAGAUACUUCAUAAUAUGGUCGUUGUUAAAUACUUGAGGGCUGAUUGUUCUAAUGGUUGACUGGAGGAUUCCUCAUAGUAUGAAGGUUGUUGCAAGAAUUAUUUGGUGAAACUUACUAUGAGGCUUCAUGAAGUAUUAAUACUCGAACAUACGUAAUUAUUGAGGGUCAGAACAUAAUUUAAUGUUUUAAAGUCUUAUAGUUAGUAAUUUUAUUUACCGGUGUAAAUUGAGAGUAGUUUGUGGAGAGACGUGAAUAGUCAUACUGCUUGUAUAAUAUUAUUGUAAAUUAUGUAUAUUACUGCAAAUUAUGUAUACAUAUGACUUAUUGUCGAAGAAUGAAAUUAUUGUU